GUGGUUUGUAGCUCAGUUGGUAGAGCACAUGCCUAGCACAUGUGAGGCACUAGGUUUGAUCCUCAGCACCACA
This 73-nucleotide transfer RNA is filed under the name Marmota monax (woodchuck). Its description in RNAcentral is "tRNA.Ala". The record is from RNAcentral. Lineage: Eukaryota; Metazoa; Chordata; Mammalia; Rodentia; Sciuridae.